UAUAUUUAACGAUUAACGAUUUCCAAGCUGAUGACCGCGAUUGCGGGCUGCGCGUAACCGUGUCGAUAAAACGAUAAACGUGGUCGUCUGUUACGCCGAAAACAAACGAAUUCGGAAAGUGUCGCACCGCUGUGCGUCGGUGAGCCGCGCGAUUCGGUUCCGAUGGUCAGCGACAAGUCCGACCGGGUCUGCGCAAGAGCCGGCACGAGUCGUCCUAGCGGACGUCCGACCCGAAAACAAUCCGUGGUCCGAGAUGGGAGUUGGGAGGGGGGAGGGGGGUUGCCGGUGCAGCGGGACGAACCUCCUAUACCGUUCGACCGUCUC
Cinara cedri is the source of this 324-nucleotide non-coding RNA. The record is from the annotation of a GenBank genome assembly. NCBI's taxonomy places the organism in Eukaryota, Metazoa, Arthropoda, Insecta, Hemiptera, Aphididae.